ACAUCCAGCGAAUUCGGUAGAGAUACCUUAGUGCCUUCGGGAACGCUGAGACAGGUGCUGCAUGGCUGUCGUCAGCUCGUGUUGUGAAAUGUUGGGUUAAGUCCCGCAACGAGCGCAACCCUUAUCCUUUGUUGCCAGCGGUCCGGCCGGGAACUCAAAGGAGACUGCCAGUGAUAAACUGGAGGAAGGUGGGGAUGACGCCAAGUCAUCAUGGCCCUUACGAGUAGGGCUACACACGUGCUACAAUGGCGCAUACAAAGAGAAGCGACCUCGCGAGAGCAAGCGGACCUCAUAAAGUGCGUCGUAGUCCGGAUUGGAGUCUGCAACUCGACUCCAUGAAGUCGGAAUCGCUAGUAAUCGUAGAUCAGAAUGCUACGGUGAAUACGUUCCCGGGCCUUGUACACACCGCCCGUCACACCAUGGGAGUGGGUUGCAAAAGAAGUAGGUAGCUUAACCUUCGGGAGGGCGCUUACCACUUUGUGAUUCAUGACUGGGGUGAAGUCGUAACAAGGUAAGCGUAGCGAG
This 525-nucleotide ribosomal RNA is filed under the name uncultured bacterium. Its description in RNAcentral is "bacterial SSU rRNA". It matches the Rfam family "Bacterial small subunit ribosomal RNA", at positions 984 to 1509 of the family's 1533-position model. The record is from RNAcentral.